Molecule: long non-coding RNA, 4333 nt
Filed under: Nilaparvata lugens (brown planthopper)
Lineage: Eukaryota; Metazoa; Arthropoda; Insecta; Hemiptera; Delphacidae
Description: uncharacterized LOC120350424
Source: RNAcentral
AAAUAUGCGAAUAUGGUUGUGGGUGGUAGGAGGAAGAGAGGACGUCCCUGGUACUCGUAUGAAGAGCACAUAAGAAGAUUGGGAGAGGAGGGAGGAAAGACUGUAGGGCGAAUGCGCUGGCUGGCCGUGGUCGGAACAACUGGAGGCGGUGGUCUGACGCUACCCCGACGCUGUGAGGCACAACGGGGCAGAUAAAGAAGAUGAAGAGUUUGAUAAAUUCUGAAACGUUCAAGUAUUAUCAGAAUUUGACUGAUGCGCUGUCUCGUUUCAAAUCAUUCGCAUCUUUGUUCAUAGCCUUCACAAGGUCACUCAAAUCUUCCUGCAAAAGUCAAUAAAAUAGAAUUGAAAAUGAGUUGGUUAUUAAAAAAUACAUUGCAUGUGUUUAAUUCAACACAUCAAAACAUUUCUAGGAUGAAGAUCAAGUAUGAAAUGAAAUAGUAAAUAUAAUUUCUGAAUCUCGCCUAUCACAUUCCAACAGCAUAGCCUAUCCGCUAUUAACAUUGUUUUCUGAAUCAAAAUUGCAAAGCUAUUAAUUAUUGUGGUUUGAAAAAGUAAGGUCUCCAACAUGAAUACAAUUUUCGAUCUUAUUAUUACUUAUAUACCAAUAAUAAUUCUGCAAUAAAAAUAAUAAUUAAUUCAGAAAAAUAAUUGUUUCAAUAACCCGCAAUAAUUAUAACAAUUAUAUAAUAAUAAUAAUGAUAAUUAUUAUUAAUAAUUAUUAAUAAUAAUUAUUAUUUAUUAUCAGUAAACUAUGAUAAUAGUUUGUACAAAAUACAUUAUGAGUUAUUGAUUGUAAGUCUGGUGCUUCUCACCUUUUGUGCUUCCAAUUCCUUGGCUUUGAAAGCUGCAAUUGGAAUUGCACCAGCACCACCGGAUUGGGGUAAGCCGCGGCCAGCCACUUGCGAAUAGUCAUAUUUGGAGAAAGGAUCCUUACCAAGUACAGGCUUCUGGGAUGUCGAGGGUGUGGUAGAAGGUUCGCCAGCUCUUUUAGCAGAGGGCUCUGUUGAUGUACUUGGAAUAGGAUGCUGCCCAGUUGACAUCUAAAACAACCAAAAAUUCCCUUUUAGUAAAAAUAUACUUCUCAUUCACAUUAUUCCAAUAAACUUUUUAUUCCAUGCAUUAUUUGAGCAUUUCAAUAUUUGUAUUAAAACUUAUUCUGGAUGACUAAAAUUGUCGUAAGUAUUUUUAAACACUACUAGUUAUUGUUGUGUAAUGAAGUCUAAGGAGCCAAGUAUUCAAGUUGAUAAGUACGAUAUGUAAGAUCGUGGCUUUUAUUGAGAAAAAAAUGAGUACUCACGUUUAUAAGGCUUACAAUAAUUACAUAAUGGGAUAACAGGCUCAAAAUAUUUUCAAGUGCCUUUGCUGGUGUAUUUAGGGUGCUAAGUGUUUUUUUCUAAAUUACAUUUUUUGUAUUCUACUUUUACUUCCUCUUGAAAUAAUAGACGAAACCCCCUCAUGGAAAAACAUAAUAAUUCAUUUCAAUAAAAUCCAAUAUAAAACAUGGUAUAUUAAUUAAAGAUUCAUGCAUUAUUCUGGAUUUUUAAAAUUAAGUCAAUUAUGAAUUUGUCUCUUGACAAGACACUUACCAAUCUCAACUGAGCAAAUAACGUUUCGAAAGGUACGUAAUUUCCCCAUAAUGUUUUCUGUAAGAAAUAAAGUUAUAUUUAUAUUAUAAAAUACAAAUAGGAAAUGAAUAACUAACUAAAAAAACUUACAACUCAAGAAUGAAAAAGAAAAAUUGUUAUUGAUACCGGUACAUUUUUUGCAGUUUCAAAUUUGUAUUUUAUUCAAAAAUGUGAAUGCCCAGAAAUAGGGGUUUACAAUUAGCCUAUGGUGGUAAAUCCAUACUCUUAAAACUUUCUACGAUACUCAAAAUCAAUAUUUAUUUUUUUGUCACAAACCAAAAACUACUCUCAUGACUCGGUUCACCUAUAUUCCCUUAUCACAAAGAGAAUUGCCAACUUUCAAAUAACGGUGCUUGAAUUAGUUGAGAAAUAAUUUUAAAAAUGAAAUGUGUGAUAAGCUACUAAAUCACAGUACCAUAUACGAAUGAAAAUACUCCUUGCUUAGAAAAUAAGUACGUGUACAUGUGAGCAAAGUCCCUUCUUUGAUUUCGAACAAAAUACAUAAAAAACACAAAAAGCCUAAGAUAACAUCAUUUUUUUUGCUGAUUAAUAAAGAAUAUAGAAAACAAUUAUUGGAUAUACUUUUUCGAUGGCACUUAUAUAUUCAACACCUUCAUGGUAUAGACCUAUCACUCACAUAAUAAGAGUUAAAAUAGUGAUUACUCAUACAAAAACCCCUUAAAUAAGUAUUUAAUAUUUUAUUUAGUAUAAGUUAAAUUAUAGCAAUGUGGAAUGUGUAUUUUGGUAUAGACUACAAUCUGUUUCUAGAGGUUUAAUUGCGCUGAGUUUUUACAAAAAUAUAAAUUUACUUUCUGCACAAUAUAAUUUUUUAUUGGACAUUAUUAAAGUUUUUACAAAUUAUCUUCAAUUAUCUCAAUUGUCUUUAACUCAUUUUUAUACUAUUUUGUACUAUAAGAUGUUUAAAUUAUUUCUAUAUAUUGAUUUAUAUCUUAGUUUAUUUCUGUUUAUCUUAGUUUAUCUUUUCUUUAUUUUGAAUUUAAAAAUAAACUGAUUUUAAAUACUUUAAUGUAAUACUCAAAGAAUGGAAAGUGCUAAAUAAAAGCCUACUAUCAUUGAAUGAAAAAAUAAAUCUGCUUCAAAAUUGAAUUGAAAAAAAUGUAAAUUUCUUGUAAAACCAAAAUUGACUAUUUAUUUAAUCUAAAUAAAAGCUUUUCUUGUUGGUGAAAUAUAUUUGUAGGCUAUAUUGAAUAGAUUACCAGGCCACUCAUGCCAUCGAGAAUGUGGCGCCGCCUGUCAUCCUGGUCAGUGCCCCAACUUCGCAAGUCCUGCUCUGAGUUAUAUUGUUUUAGUCGACCACUGCUACGUUUUCGCCUCAAGCGCUGCUUUGCUGUCUUAUCUCUGUCAUAGAAAAGUCUUGUUUUUAUGUCGGAGUAAGUUGUCAUGAUGAAGAAAACUGUAUGAUUUUAUUGGGAUGUCAUUUUUCUGAAGUAGUGUGUGUGAGGAUCAAACUAGUGUCAAUUUUGUGUGUUAUUAAGGUUAAUGAGCACAUCAACAUAAAACAAAACUUUUCAAUCAGUUGUUUAAUCAAUAAAAUAAAUGAGUUAAAAUAAAUGUCUUUUAAUCUUAGAAAUCAUGUAUAAGAAGAUGAAGAAAUAAUAACGUACUCAUAAAUUUUCCAAAUUAUUAUUAUAGUCAUAUGCUUAUCAUUCCACAAUAAUUUUGUAAAUUUCAGUUCAAGCUCUUUUUUUUUUAAUUGUUCUUUGUAAUGGAACCACAUGUACAUUUAAUUGAAAUGCCUGUUGAGUGCUCUUAUUUUCUGGUUUGUUCAAUAGAAAUCAGUAUUAAUUCAAAUGUUAAAUUUUUUAAUAAUAUUUGAUCAGGAUAAUGUUACAAUUGCAGAGCGGUUGGAUGUGGAUUUCAGCUGGAGUAUUGGCAGGCGGUCUUGCAGUGAAAUAUGUUGGAUUUCGGUCGCGAGUUGAUCCCACUGGAAAUGGAUUUAAAAAUUUUGCAAAAACUGUUUGUUUUUUUAAGUUGGGCGCACUUUCCUCAGUUGUUUCAAUGUAUCUCAUUAAGUUGACAAAAAUACCAGAAUGCGUGCAGGCAUACCCAAGAACGACUUUUCUAAUAACAAUUUAUAGUAUGUUCAAACUUCGACCUGAUAUUGGUACCCUGCAGGAACGAUCUUUUAUCUCAAAAAUAAAUUUAAUUAUAGGUUCACUUAUUUUCUAUGCUCUUCCAAGUCUGUAUUAUAGUAAAUAUAGUAAUGAAAUCUUAGUUAAAACGUUGUUUUUUACAAUAAUCGUUGUAACUGUUUGCUUUGUUACUGGAACUAUUAUUCCUUUAGAAAACAAUCAUUUCAUUUUCAAUAGUUUUGGAUAUGAAAUUUCGCGGAUUGGAAUUGUAAUUGUCAUAGCAAGUGCAUUAGAUCGUUUAAUACUGUAUGAAAACUACAGGGUGUUUCCAAAAUACGUGAUUCACUUUGGAUCUGCUCUUGUAUUGUUGGGAGUGUUGACUGAUGACAUUCAACAAGUUAAGAACAAAUUUUUGGAGACUGCUCAAGAAGAAGAACCAUUAAAACCAAUUUUUGACCGGUCAGUUAUAAUUUUUAUCGAAUCUGUAUUAAUAUUUGGUAGAGUUGCAGACAUUUUAUAUUUUGUAAUGGAUCGGGAAUCUUAUAAAUGAGAAUAAUGCAAUGAAAAGGUUCUUUAUUGAGUAGCUUAUUUAAAACAAAUAUAAUGAUAAAUUUU